ACUGUUGAGAGCUGAAUCUCUCUAUGUUACACCGUUGAAAAAUGUAGCGUAUAGGUGUUCCUUUCAGUUUAUGCUGCAUAUCCAAAGUCCCUUUGAUAGGUGCCACAUUCCGGAGAGAGUGCAGGACCUGGGCGGACAGUGGAGCAAGCUGUACCGCUAUAUCUUGGAAAGCUUGGUUGCUUGAAAGUGCAGCCUAAAGCGGCUGAUAAACCUCAUCUAAGACUAAAUAUAGACGCGAAUUCGAUAGCAAGCAAGUAGUGUGAGG
RNAcentral lists this non-coding RNA (265 nucleotides) under Ancylostoma ceylanicum. RNAcentral's name for it is "Eukaryotic large subunit ribosomal RNA". It matches the Rfam family "Eukaryotic large subunit ribosomal RNA", at positions 104 to 358 of the family's 3401-position model. Lineage: Eukaryota; Metazoa; Nematoda; Chromadorea; Rhabditida; Ancylostomatidae. The record is from Rfam by way of RNAcentral.